GCACAGGACUGCGUCUCUCACCACCACAGCCAGGCAGCUGCUCUUCUAGCUUCUGAUUAUCAUCCCCAAGCCAUGCCUUGGUCAUUUCUGAGUUGAACAAAAUCUGCCAACGAUUUGCACUUCUGUCGUCCCUUUCAUCUGGGAACCACAAGGCCAUCUGAAACUUCUCUGAUCAGCUUCAGAGGAGUCCCCUCUAUCAGUUAAGAAUUGUACUCUACACUGAGAAGCAGGUAUUGCAUUUGUUGGUCGCAAGGAUAAUCCCCCAAAUUCCCACAGCAUCCAGAUGAAGUUGUCUACUGUCCACAGGAUGUUCAGCAAAGACACCGGGAUGUAUUUGCCUGAAGAAGAACGGAAGAGAACUGAAAAGAGACAUCUAAGGGGAUGACGUUGUCAUCGGGCCAUUAAUACCUGAACUGCAUUUUAUUUCACAGAGGGCCUCAGGUACUCACAUAGCCCUACAGUGUGGAAUCAAUGUCUGAGAAACCAGGAAGAAAAUCUGACCCAAAGCUAGGUAAGUGCCAGUUUCUGAUGCAGGAAGAAUAAAGUUAAAUCCACCCGGGCUCAGUGAAGGAUGACAUGUCACUCUUUAAGGUUUCCUCUGUCCGAUUGCUGUAUGAACCCAUAUCCAGUAGUGUUAUAGUAGAUGUCUUCCCAGGAGGAAGAUUCCUCAUCUUCAACCCAAGUUUGCUUUUGUUCAAUGCAUUCACACUGUAGGAUCCUUCCUGAGAUUUGCUGUAAUAGAUUUGACUUGUGCUUCCAUGAGGUACCAUCACUUGUCUUAAAGGGUGGAAGGAAGCCAAUGGAUGGUAACCUGAAUGUGGGAGGGAAAACUCCAUUUUCCUCUGAAGGCGGAGCCAAGUGCAAAGUGAGAGCAUUGUAUUUUGGGUCUAAUGCACCUCUUGUUCAGCUCGGUGCAGCCUGAAUCUACAUACCAUUUUUCUUAGUGGAAAGGCAGAGAGAGAAGCUGAUACCUUCAGGAACAGCGAAUGCCACACUUGUUUCUGCUCCCCCUGGAUUUAUCAUGGAAGGUGAUCUAAUCCAUCCAUUCCCAGAAGAGAGUGUGUUGUAGCACUGGGUAUUUAUUCUCAGCAUGCCAAAGUUCUGUGCCCACAGAAAAGGUCCACCUCGCCUACUGUCAAGACUUUGGGUAGAUGUGUGGAUGCUCAGAUGCCUUGCUCCUUUCUCCUUUCUCAUGCAUGUUUCUGGCUUUGUGUAUUCCCUGGAUUUUGCCCAUGUCCUUCAUCACUGUGGGCUCCAAGAUACACUUUACUUGGUCUGUGAAAAACAGCUGACUCAACUGAAAACCUCCAUGGACUUCUUCACUAUUGAUUCAGGGUGGACUCUACUUGCAUUGGUGAAAUUCCAGCCUGGGUUACUUCUGUCCAGUCUUAAUACUGAAAUUCUAGAGAGUAGCCACCCAAUCUGGAAGCCACGACAAAACUCUUGAUGGACGUGGGGAACUAGGUCAAUAUGUCACAUCCACAUCAUCCUAGAUCAGAUUGCCUGGGGACACAAUGACCAAGCUUUCCCAUCCAUAGAAGACAUGCUUCAGGCUGUCCCUACAGGCCCCCUCCAGCUCUUUAAGAGAGAUCCUUAGGGAGGCCCUGGUCUUUGUCAGAGACUGGGGUUGGUGGAGGGUGGCUAAUCUGUAAGUCUCCAGAAAACUAUGUGUCUGUCCUAUACAAUCUCAGCAAGCUGUUGGCCCAAAGUCUUGUGUUUUGCACUAACCAUGUAUCUCUCACUUCAUAUUAAACAAUACCCUCAACUUUUCAUCCUGAAAUCUCUUCUUGGUACAUUUGUUCAUUUUUCAUUCAUCUUUUCCUUUCUAAAUUUUCAAUGAUGUCCCUGAAUCAGGUGCAGAGAGAUGGCUCAAUUAAAAUAGUAGGGAGUGAACAUUACACUGGAAAUAAAUGUGGUAUAUUUAAGAAUUUAUGACAGGUUUUGAGACAGAUGUUGAUUUUACUUCAAAAUAAAGUACAGUUAUUUUAUGCAA
This 1993-nucleotide long non-coding RNA is filed under the name Mus musculus (house mouse). RNAcentral describes it as "predicted gene 28564". The record is from RNAcentral. Lineage: Eukaryota; Metazoa; Chordata; Mammalia; Rodentia; Muridae.